Molecule: ribosomal RNA, 301 nt
Filed under: uncultured bacterium
Lineage: Bacteria
Description: partial 16S ribosomal RNA
Rfam family: Bacterial small subunit ribosomal RNA
Source: RNAcentral
CAGCCGCCGCGGUAAUACGUAGGUGACAAGCGUUGUCCGGAAUUAUUGGGCGUAAAGGGAGCGCAGGCGGUUGGAAUAGUCUGAUGUGAAAGCCCACGGCUUAACCGUGGAAUUGCAAUGGAAACUGUCCAACUUGAAUGCAGAAGAGGAAAGCGGAAUUCCAUGUAUAGCGGUGAAAUGCGUAGAUAUAUGGAGGAACACCAGUGGCGAAGGCGGCUUUCUGGUCUGUGAUUGACGCUGAGGCUCGAAAGCGUGGGGAGCGAACAGGAUUAGAUACCCCGGUAGUCCCUGUCUCUUAUAC